Molecule: ribosomal RNA, 468 nt
Filed under: uncultured bacterium
Lineage: Bacteria
Description: partial 16S ribosomal RNA
Rfam family: Bacterial small subunit ribosomal RNA
Source: RNAcentral
GACGAACGCUGGCGGCGUGCUUAACACAUGCAAGUCGAACGGAAAGGCCCUGCUUUUGUGGGGUGCUCGAGUGGCGAACGGGUGAGUAACACGUGAGUAACCUGCCCUUGACUUUGGGAUAACUUCAGGAAACUGGGGCUCAUACCGGAUAGGAGCUCCUGCUGCAUGGUGGGGGUUGGAAAGUUUCGGCGGUUGGGGAUGGACUCGCGGCUUAUCAGCUUGUUGGUGGGGUAGGGGCAUACCAAGGCUUUGACGGGUAGCCGGCCUGAGAGGGUGACCGGCCACAUUGGGACUGCGAUACGGCGCAGACGGCUACGGGAGGCAGCAGUGGGGAAUAUUGCACAAUGGGCGGAAGCCUGAUGCAGCAACGCCGCGUGCGGGAUGACGGCUUUCGGGUUGUAAACCGCUUUCGCCUGUGACGAAGCGUGAGUGACGGUAAUGGGUAAAGAAGCACCGGCUAACUACGUG